CAAAUUAAAUCUUAAAAGUUAAGAUUUUUAUUUACAUUAAAAAAAAAUUGUGCAAUUCAAUGUAAUUUGA
RNAcentral lists this transfer RNA (70 nucleotides) under Agapetus fuscipes. RNAcentral's name for it is "tRNA-Val". The record is from RNAcentral. Lineage: Eukaryota; Metazoa; Arthropoda; Insecta; Trichoptera; Glossosomatidae.